AUUUACAUGCAUCACAUUAUUGUGCGGUGUGCCCCUUUAAGAGACUGAUCACGUCAUUUCUGAUGCGUGCUAUGCGUGAUGACGUUGUUGAGUUGAGCGUGAGUAAGAUCCACCGUAGACGCUAAGCGUGCUCUACCCUCUUUCUAUACUUUUGUUUUGUUAGUUUUAUUUUGUGACGCUAAGAAAGAGUAAUCUCUCAUGUGUGAGAGGAUUGCGUUGCUUGUGUUACCUGCCAUUAAAUGUGCGUGAUACAGCCUUUACGCCUCUAACCUCUUUCUUCCAUUGACUUUGUGAGAGCUAUCCUGGUCAAAGCGUUACAACCUGAUGGCAGAGCUGAGAAUGGGAAGCGAUGACCUGACAAGAGCUAAGAGGAUACAGCUGGAAAAGGAGGUCAGAGACCAAGCAUUUUCAAACCAAUUCCUUACUAUUCUGCAAAGAAUGUGACGCAGCGAGGUCUGGACAUUAUACAUUUUUUUCCUGAACAACAACAUAGGGUUCAUAAAUGUACGCAGGAUGUACGGUCAAAGGUCAUAAUCAUAAACCCGGCAGGGGGUAAUCAAUUAUGGGUAAUAAAUUACGUUUGACACA
Long non-coding RNA from Triplophysa dalaica, 588 nucleotides. RefSeq lists it as uncharacterized. The transcript has 2 exons. The record is from RefSeq and is a predicted model, not a curated record. Lineage: Eukaryota; Metazoa; Chordata; Actinopteri; Cypriniformes; Nemacheilidae.